UUGUCUUUGUCGUCAGGGAGAGGGCAGGACUGCGGGAGGCUCUGGUUCUGUACUUUCAGAGGCUCGGGAGUGUAUUUAUCUCCACUGAUUGGGGGAUCUGUAGUUAGACACACAGACUGCACCACUGUCAGGGCUGCUGCGAUAAAAAACAACCAUCUGACCAAUCAGAAUCAAGAGCUCACCAGCGCUGGAGUAUAAAUGACAUUUGAUGCAUUCUUGAGAGCUGCAUUCUUGGUACCGUGACGAUUGUUAAUAUCUCACCUGUAAUCGGAGGCGGAGCGGGUUGAGGCUGCUGAUUAGGACUGACGGAGCGGCGAGCUUUUACAGAACUCUCUGUUUCUCUGGAUGUCAGUUUCAGAGAGGGAACCUGCUUCAUGUCUACUGAAGCUGCAAAGACAAAUUCAACUCAGUUCAGUGCAAGCCGGUGGCAAGAAAAACUCCCUAAGAUGAUAAGAGGAAGAAACCUUGAGAGGAACCAGACUCAGAAGGGAACCCGUCCUCAUCUGGGUAACACCGGAUAGUUUGAGAGUAAAAGAAAGUUCAUUAUGGCUUUUAUAUGAAGGCUGGUUUGUUGAACUAGUCCACUGUUCACUAAAGGGGUCUUGAGUGCAAAACUGUAUGUGGUAAUUGCAGUCCUAAUGCCACAGCAAAAAAAUCUCCUGUAGACUUGUGUAGUGUGUCAAAUUUCUCCCUUGUGACUCAAAAUUCCUUUUUUCUAUCAGAUUAAAGAGGUAACAUCACAGUUUAAAACCUCAAUUUAACGUUUCAGAUUCAUUUGAAUUUUUUAUAUUAUUUAUCCACAAUAAAAUUUUCACAUUGCUAUUUAUUCAUUUGCAUUUCUUUCCCAUGACCAAGGUAAAAUUACCUAUGUUUGAGCUCGAAAUAGGGUAUAACCAUAUUUGGAUGCUUUUAAUAUAAAUAAAGCAUAAGUAUUGGCACCCUUUUGCUGUGUUUACGUGCAUGGAGAGCACGAACGCGUGCUCCACUGUAAUCCCGCUAAAGAUUAAUGGAUUGGCAUCUUUUAAUGUAUAGGUUGUGUCUGGGAGAGUAGACAAACCAAAAGUUUGCUCCUCUUUAGUUCCACUAAAUAUAAAAGUAUUGGCACCUUUUCAUUUGGAUGCACACACUGUCUUGUGCCUUUACACGUUUACACUAUGAGAGAGAAAUGCAGCCAAGGCACACACAUGUUAACCUCAAACAAGAGAUGCCUGGAGUAUUUUCCCAAUAUCUCAAAUCACCACAUGAUAACCUCUAGAGAAAUUCCUCCUAUUGUGAUGCCUAAAAUUAUGUGAUGAGGAAGACUGACAGACACACACACAGAUGGGAUGUGGAUAGUCCUGUUUCCUCACCUCACUCGCGAAGUGCUAUAACGUUCUAUAUCUUGAGUUAUAGUUGUUACUGCAGGUUCACCCUAUCCAUGUAGCAUGUAU
This is a long non-coding RNA of Ictalurus furcatus (blue catfish), 1430 nucleotides long. RefSeq lists it as uncharacterized. The record is from RefSeq and is a predicted model, not a curated record. Lineage: Eukaryota; Metazoa; Chordata; Actinopteri; Siluriformes; Ictaluridae. The transcript is spliced from 3 exons.